UUUAUAAAUAUGUCUCUGUUUUAGAUUUCGAAAUAUUGUUUCUUGUCGGACAACUUCUUUCCGAAACCCUUUCACUCGGCGUCCCAUAAUUGGAUAUUAAUUACACUUAAAAAAAUGAAUGCAGAAAUGAAGAAUCACUUAUUGUUUAAAAAUUGUUCGAUCUCCAGCAAUUAUUUUCGACGUCGUUUUUUUUUUUUAAAUUGCUACCAUUUUUCCAUAAUCGCCAAUCUGAAAUUUGGCACUUUCUAAGAUUUUUCAAAAAUAUUUCGAAAUUCUCGUUCUGGAACCACAAACAUUUUUCGAAUUUUCUGUGGCAAAAUUUGUCAAUCCUGGCUCUUUGUGAAAUUUUCGACCCUUUUUCAGUCACCAAAAUCACCUAAAGGUUUUUUUUACAGGUUUAGAACCUUUUUAUGAAAACUCAAUUAAAUCGUUCAAAUUGUGAUCCUAAAAGCCAUGGCAAUUUUUAAGAUUUUUCAAAAAUUCAUUUUCAAACCAAAUAUCGCGAAAUUCACUAAAUCUAACAAUGAGAAAUAAUAAGCCCUUAAGAGUGCGGGUGGUCACCGGCACCAGCUUACCGUCAUAAAUCAAGGAUUUGUGCGAUGACAGUUGAAACGAUUUAUGAUUAUGGGUUUUUCCUCAUUAAUAAAUCCAUAGUCCAAUUCACAACACCCUAAUUUUAUAACAGUCAGUUAAAAAAUUAGAAUUUCGAAAGCUUAUACUAGUGACUGACUCUAUGCCAAUCAGAUAUCGUUAAACGCUUGAUUAAAUGCGUGAUUAACUUCCUACUCAGUCUCCUCAGUAGUCGACAACUGCAUACACCCUCGCACAGCACACAAGCCGGUUCAAGAAUGGAAAAGUCACAAGCUGACUUUUUGAAGUACAUGGAGUGUCCAGUCUGUCUGGACAUUCUUCGUCCUUCUGUCCUUUAUGCGGAAACGGACACAGUAUUUGCCAUGACUGCCACUACCAACUACUGAAAACCUCGCAGAUAGCAAAAUGUCCAGUUUGUCAGGAAGACUUCGACCUGUCAGGACUUCAAGAGGCAGUUGUAUCUCUAGAUGGAGGUGGCCUGCAGAUUCGACGGAUGCAAAAUGGAAGGGAGUUAAUAUAAUAGCAUAGGCGGCCCCCGCUGCCCGGCGCCCUUUGUCACGGACGCCCCGAUGCGGUGCAUCUUUUGCUUACCGUGUUAAGCCGGCCCUGGGUAUGGCGCAGAAGUGAUCCGACACGAAAGAAGAUGUCUCUUUCGACUACGAGAAUGGCCUAAAUACUCUUGAAAAGGGCCCCAGACGUGGUUAGUAAACCAUUACUUCGUAAAGCAUGCAAGUUGAUAGUGCCCAUAAUUAGUGGGGUAAUAAAUCAUGAUUGACAGGUGUCAUAAACAUGACAAAUGUCAAUUAAGAUAUCGAUCUUAAUGAAAUGUAAUGGAACAUUUGAAGGCGGUGGCGUUAAAUUUAGCACUUUAGUUGUAACUAUGUGUUUUGCACAAUAUUUGUUUAAAGACAAAUGAUAUAGAGGCACCCCCUGCUCCUGAAGAGAUAAAUGAGCAGGAUUUGGAAGUGCAAAUAAAUGACGGACAAAUGCCCAACAUUGAAGAAGGGCCAGACCCAGUUCGCUAUGGUACACGAGAAAUUUUAAUAGAACAACACUUUGCUGCAUUGUAAAUAACCACUUUAUUUUAAAUUCUACAACGCAGAAUUACCA
This is a long non-coding RNA of Zophobas morio, 1701 nucleotides long. RefSeq lists it as uncharacterized. Lineage: Eukaryota; Metazoa; Arthropoda; Insecta; Coleoptera; Tenebrionidae. The record is from RefSeq and is a predicted model, not a curated record. The transcript is spliced from 3 exons.